UACGUAGGGGGCAAGCGUUGUCCGGAUUUAUUGGGCGUAAAGAGCGUGUAGGCGGCUAUUUAAGUCCUGCGUGAAAUCCUGCGGCUCAACCGCAGACGGUCGUGGGAAACUGGAUGGCUAGAGUGCGGGAGAGGAGAGUGGAAUUCCCGGUGUAGCGGUGAAAUGCGCAGAUAUCUGCAGGAACACCCGUGGCGAAGGCGGCUCGCUGGACCGCAACUGACGCUGAGGAACGAAAGCUAGGGGAGCAAACAGG
This 253-nucleotide ribosomal RNA is filed under the name uncultured bacterium. Its description in RNAcentral is "partial 16S ribosomal RNA". It matches the Rfam family "Bacterial small subunit ribosomal RNA", at positions 524 to 776 of the family's 1533-position model. The record is from RNAcentral.